AGUGGUUAAGCAUUUGGCUACUAACCAAAAGGUUGUCGGUUCAAAUCCACCAACCACUC
This 59-nucleotide transfer RNA is filed under the name Loxodonta africana (African savanna elephant). It matches the Rfam family "tRNA". From Rfam's summary of the family: Transfer RNA (tRNA) molecules are approximately 80 nucleotides in length. Lineage: Eukaryota; Metazoa; Chordata; Mammalia; Proboscidea; Elephantidae. The record is from Rfam by way of RNAcentral.